GGAGCUUCGGUUCCGCUGACGACCGGCGCACGGGUGCGUAACGCGUAUGAAACCUGCCUUAUACAGGGGGAUAGCCCGAAGAAAUUCGGAUUAAUACCCCAUAAUGAUAAGUUAUCGCAUGGUAAUUUAUUUAAAACUCCGGUGGUAUAAGAUGGUCAUGCGUGACAUUAGCUAGUUGGUGAGGUAACGGCUCACCAAGGCGACGAUGUCUAGGGGUUCUGAGAGGAAGGUCCCCCACACUGGUACUGAGACACGGACCAGACUCCUACGGGAGGCAGCAGUGAGGAAUAUUGGUCAAUGGGCGCAAGCCUGAACCAGCCAUGUCGCGUGCAGGACGACUGCCCUAUGGGUUGUAAACUGCUUUUAUAUGGGAAGAAAUGUAUCUACGAGUAGAUAUUUGCCGGUACCAUAUGAAUAAGCAUCGGCUAACUCCGUGCCAGCAGCCGCGGUAAUACGGAGGAUGCGAGCGUUAUCCGGAUUCAUUGGGUUUAAAGGGUGCGUAGGCGGAAGUGUAAGUCAGGGGUGAAAGUUUGCAGCUCAACUGUAAAAUUGCCUUUGAUACUGCAUUUCUUGAGUACAUUUGAGGUAGGCGGAAUGUGUUGUGUAGCGGUGAAAUGCUUAGAUAUAACACAGAACACCGAUUGCGAAGGCAGCUUACUAAACUGUAACUGACGCUGAUGCACGAAAGCGUGGGGAUCGA
Molecule: ribosomal RNA, 700 nt
Filed under: uncultured Bacteroidota bacterium
Lineage: Bacteria; Pseudomonadati; Bacteroidota
Description: bacterial SSU rRNA
Rfam family: Bacterial small subunit ribosomal RNA
Source: RNAcentral